Molecule: transfer RNA, 69 nt
Filed under: Ictidomys tridecemlineatus (thirteen-lined ground squirrel)
Lineage: Eukaryota; Metazoa; Chordata; Mammalia; Rodentia; Sciuridae
Description: Spermophilus tridecemlineatus (thirteen-lined ground squirrel) tRNA
Rfam family: tRNA
About the family: Transfer RNA (tRNA) molecules are approximately 80 nucleotides in length. Their secondary structure includes four short double-helical elements and three loops (D, anti-codon, and T loops).
Source: Rfam by way of RNAcentral
GGGGAUGUAGCUUGGUAGAGUGCUUGCCUCACAUGCACAAAGCCCUGGGUUCAAUCCCCAGCACAACCA